Molecule: transfer RNA, 72 nt
Filed under: Marmota monax (woodchuck)
Lineage: Eukaryota; Metazoa; Chordata; Mammalia; Rodentia; Sciuridae
Rfam family: tRNA
About the family: Transfer RNA (tRNA) molecules are approximately 80 nucleotides in length. Their secondary structure includes four short double-helical elements and three loops (D, anti-codon, and T loops). Further hydrogen bonds mediate the characteristic L-shaped molecular structure. tRNAs have two regions of fundamental functional importance: the anti-codon, which is responsible for specific mRNA codon recognition, and the 3' end, to which the tRNAs corresponding amino acid is attached (by aminoacyl-tRNA synthetases). tRNAs cope with the degeneracy of the genetic code in two manners: having more than one tRNA (with a specific anti-codon) for a particular amino acid; and 'wobble' base-pairing, i.e. permitting non-standard base-pairing at the 3rd anti-codon position.
Source: Rfam by way of RNAcentral
UGGGUUGUGGCUCAGUGGUAGAGCACUUGCCUAACACGUAUGAGGCACUGGGUUCAAUCCUCAGCACCACAU